Molecule: long non-coding RNA, 378 nt
Organism: Microplitis demolitor
Lineage: Eukaryota; Metazoa; Arthropoda; Insecta; Hymenoptera; Braconidae
Exons: 3
Source: RefSeq, a predicted model, not a curated record
CAAUAAUCGUAGAACAUACACCAUCAACAGUAGUACUGUAUUUUACGAUAUAAAAGUUCAAGAAACCAAUAAUUACAAAAUGCCAAAAGUAAUGUUCGCAUUCAUUGCAUUACUCGUCAUUAUUGUCAUGAUGGAAAAGACUGCCGAGGCUUGCACCGGAAUAUUGGGCUCGUGCAACGAGCAUGACGACUGCUGUUCAAUGUGGUGUGCCCAUUCAGACUUUUUUGGCCUUCGAUACUGCAGUGUCAAGACAAAAUAAAAUAAUAAAAUUAUGAUUAAAAUUCAGUGCCGGGUUUAAUUUUACGUUUUUUAUUUAUUCAAUUAGUAUUUGUACUAAUAAAAAAAGUGUAUACUUUUAGUAAAUCAAUUAUGAUAAUA